Molecule: small RNA, 659 nt
Filed under: Pongo abelii (Sumatran orangutan)
Lineage: Eukaryota; Metazoa; Chordata; Mammalia; Primates; Hominidae
Description: processed transcript
Source: RNAcentral
AUUAAGCAGACCAAUUAAGGAGCUCCUGCUGGAAUCAAAAUAAGAGGUACCAAAGAUAAUACUAAGAGAUGUAAUCUCAGAGAAAAAAUUUCCAAAUACAUGGACAGAGCGGAAAACAUAAAGAAGUACUUGGACCAAGAAAAAGAAGAAGCUAAAGAAACUCCUGGGCUUUCUCUCAGAUUUUGUUGUGAAUCAAAACACCUCAGGAGUUAAGCAUUCCUAAUGAUUAGAGGUCAGAUGGAAAAUAUCACAAGCAAAUUAAAAUAGAAGAGAAUGCAACAGGUUUCAGUUAUGAGUCACUUUUUCGCGAAUACCUUCAUGAGACAGUUACAGAAGUUUGGAUAGAAGAUCCUUAUAUUAGACAUACUCAUCAGGUAUGUGAACAUACUAAAAUAUAAUGAAAUAUCAUAUUGAAUGUACUAAAUUAGUAAUAAUCCAUUCUAAUGUCUUUUAGCUGUAUAACUUUCUUCGAUUUUGUGAGAUGCUUAUUAAGAGACCGUGUAAAGUAAAAACUAUUCACCUUCUCACCUCUCUGGAUGAAGGCAUUGAGCAAGCGCAGCAAAGUAGAGGCCUGCAAGAAAUAGAAGAGUCACUCAGGAGUCACGGAGUGCUGUUGGAAGUUCAAUACUCUUCUUCAAUACAUGACCGAGAAAUUAGGU